GAGGGUAGAGCUUAGUGGUAGAGUCCAUGCUUAGCAUGCACGAGGUCCUGGUUCAAUCCCCAGUACCUCCA
This 71-nucleotide transfer RNA is filed under the name Camelus bactrianus (Bactrian camel). It matches the Rfam family "tRNA". From Rfam's summary of the family: Transfer RNA (tRNA) molecules are approximately 80 nucleotides in length. Lineage: Eukaryota; Metazoa; Chordata; Mammalia; Artiodactyla; Camelidae. The record is from Rfam by way of RNAcentral. RNAcentral also lists the same sequence under 1 other name.